AAGUCCCGCAAGGGAUCAGUAGAGUGGCAAACGGGUGAGUAACACGUGGGUGACCUGCCUUCGAGUGGGGGAUAACGUCCCGAAAGGGACGCUAAUACCGCAUGACAUCCUGCCUUUGAAGAAGUGGAGCUUAAAGCUGGGGAUCGCAAGACCUAGCGCUUGAAGAGGGGCCCGCGUCUGAUUAGCUAGUUGGUGAGGUAACGGCUCACCAAGGCAACGAUCAGUAUCCGGCCUGAGAGGGCGGACGGACACACUGGGACUGAGACACGGCCCAGACUCCUACGGGAGGCAGCAGUGGGGAAUUGUUCGCAAUGGGCGCAAGCCUGACGACGCAACGCCGCGUGGAGGAUGAAGAUCUUCGGG
RNAcentral lists this ribosomal RNA (363 nucleotides) under uncultured bacterium. RNAcentral describes it as "bacterial SSU rRNA". It matches the Rfam family "Bacterial small subunit ribosomal RNA", at positions 72 to 422 of the family's 1533-position model. The record is from RNAcentral.